GCCUGGGUGGCUCAGUCGGUUGAGCGUCCGACUUCGGCUCAGGUCAUGAUCUCGCAGUCUGUGAGUUCGAGCCCCACAUCGGGCU
Molecule: transfer RNA, 85 nt
Filed under: Felis catus (domestic cat)
Lineage: Eukaryota; Metazoa; Chordata; Mammalia; Carnivora; Felidae
Also listed under: 3 other names
Rfam family: tRNA
About the family: Transfer RNA (tRNA) molecules are approximately 80 nucleotides in length. Their secondary structure includes four short double-helical elements and three loops (D, anti-codon, and T loops).
Source: Rfam by way of RNAcentral